Molecule: ribosomal RNA, 254 nt
Filed under: uncultured bacterium
Lineage: Bacteria
Description: partial 16S ribosomal RNA
Rfam family: Bacterial small subunit ribosomal RNA
Source: RNAcentral
UACGUAGGGUGCGAGCGUUAAUCGGAAUUACUGGGCGUAAAGAGUGCGUAGGCGGUUUCUCAAGUCCGCUGUGAAAUCCCCGGGCUCAACCUGGGAAUGGCAUUCAGGACUGCGAGGCUUUGAGUGUGGCAGAGGGAGGUGGAAUUCCACGUGUAGCAGUGAAAUGCGUAGAGGUGUGGAGGAACACCGAUGGCGAAGGCAGCCUCCUGGGCCAGCACUGACGCUCAUGCACGAAAGCGUGGGGAGCAAACAGG